This 465-nucleotide ribosomal RNA is filed under the name uncultured bacterium. RNAcentral's name for it is "bacterial SSU rRNA". It matches the Rfam family "Bacterial small subunit ribosomal RNA", at positions 338 to 795 of the family's 1533-position model. The record is from RNAcentral.
CCUACGGGCCGCACCAGUAGGGAAUCUUCGGCAAUGGACGAAAGUCUGACCGAGCAACGCCGCGUGAGUGGAGAAGGUUUUCGGAUCGUAGAACUCUGUCGUUAGAGAAGAACAAGGACGUUAGUAACUGAACGUCCCCUGACGGUAUCUAACCAGAAAGCCACGGCUAACUACGUGCCAGCAGCCGCGGUAAUACGUAGGUGGCAAGCGUUGUCCGGAUUUAUUGGGCGUAAAGCGAGCGCAGGCGGUUUCUUAAGUCUGAUGUGAAAGCCCCCGGCUCAACCGGGGAGGGUCAUUGGAAACUGGGAGACUUGAGUACAGAAGAGGAGAGUGGAAUUCCAUGUGUAGCGGUGAAAUGCGUAGAUAUAUGGAGGAACACCAGUGGCGAAGGCGGCUCUCUGGUCUGUAACUGACGCUGAGGCUCGAAAGCGUGGGGAGCAAACAGGAUUAGAUACCCCGGUAGUC